RNAcentral lists this ribosomal RNA (505 nucleotides) under uncultured bacterium. RNAcentral's name for it is "partial 16S ribosomal RNA". It matches the Rfam family "Bacterial small subunit ribosomal RNA", at positions 30 to 523 of the family's 1533-position model. The record is from RNAcentral.
ACUGAACGCUGGCGCAGGCCUAACACAUGCAAGUCGAACGGUAACAGGAAGAAGCUUGCUUCUUUGCUGACGAGUGGCGGACGGGUGAGUAAUGUCUGGGAAACUGCCUGAUGGAGGGGGAUAACUACUGGAAACGGUAGCUAAUACCGCAUAACGUCGCAAGACCAAAGAGGGGGACCUUCGGGCCUCUUGCCAUCGGAUGUGCCCAGAUGGGAUUAGCUAGUCGGUGGGGUAACGGCUCACCAAGGCGACGAUCCCUAGCUGGUCUGAGAGGAUGACCAGCCACACUGGAACUGAGACACGGUCCAGACUCCUACGGGAGGCAGCAGUGGGGAAUAUUGCACAAUGGGCGCAAGCCUGAUGCAGCCAUGCCGCGUGUAUGAAGAAGGCCUUCGGGUUGUAAAGUACUUUCAGCGGGGAGGAAGGGAGUAAAGUUAAUACCUUUGCUCAUUGACGUUACCCGCAGAAGAAGCACCGGCUAACUCCGUGCCAGCCGCCGCCGUAA